AACACAAUCUUCAUCAUCACACAAGACACAACAACAACAAUGAACAACAUCAUCAUCCUCAUCUGGACCAUUGCAGCUUUUAUUCAAGAGUGUAGAGGACAGAUCACUGUAACUCAGAGUCCAUCAAUAACAGCAGCUCAACCAGGACAAGAAGUCAGAAUAAACUGUAAAACCAGCAGUUCAGUGUAUGGUGGUAGUUACUUACACUGGUACUUACAGAAACCUGGAGAAGCUCCUAAACUCCUCAUAUAUCAGAUAUCAAACCGUUACACUGGAGCUCCAUCUAGAUUCAGUGGCAGUGGAUCUUACUCUGGAAGUGAUUUCACUCUGACCAUCAGUGGAGUCCAGACUGAAGAUACAGGAGAUUAUCACUGUCAGAGUAGACACUGGAUCAACAGUAAAGAUGUGUUCACACAGUGA
This is a non-coding RNA of Sinocyclocheilus rhinocerous, 420 nucleotides long. The record is from the annotation of a RefSeq genome assembly. NCBI's taxonomy places the organism in Eukaryota, Metazoa, Chordata, Actinopteri, Cypriniformes, Cyprinidae.